CCUANGGGCGGCAGCAGUGAGGAAUAUUGCACAAUGGAGGAAACUCUGAUGCAGCAACGCCGCGUGGAGGAUGACGCAUUUCGGUGUGUAAACUCCUUUUAUUAGGGAAGAUAAUGACGGUACCUAAUGAAUAAGCACCGGCUAACUCCGUGCCAGCAGCCGCGGUAAUACGGAGGGUGCAAGCGUUACUCGGAAUCACUGGGCGUAAAGGGCUCGUAGGUGGCCACCUAAGUCCGACGUGAAAUCCCUCGGCUCAACCGGGGAACUGCGUCGGAUACUGGGUGGCUUGAAUCCGGGAGAGGGACGUGGAAUUCCAGGUGUAGCGGUGAAAUGCGUAGAUAUCUGGAGGAACACCGGUGGCGAAGGCGGCGUCCUGGACCGGUAUUGACACUGAGGAGCGAAAGCCAGGGGAGCAAACGGGAUUAGAUACCCCANUANUC
RNAcentral lists this ribosomal RNA (440 nucleotides) under uncultured bacterium. RNAcentral's name for it is "bacterial SSU rRNA". It matches the Rfam family "Bacterial small subunit ribosomal RNA", at positions 338 to 795 of the family's 1533-position model. The record is from RNAcentral.